GAUGAACGCUGGCGGCGUGCUUAACACAUGCAAGUCGAACGGAAAGGCCCAAGCUUGCUUGGGUACUCGAGUGGCGAACGGGUGAGUAACACGUGGGUGAUCUGCCCUGCACUUCGGGAUAAGCCUGGGAAACUGGGUCUAAUACCGGAUAGGACGAUGGUUUGGAUGCCAUUGUGGACAGUUUUUUCGGUGUGGGAUGAGCUCGCGGCCUAUCAGCUUGUUGGUGGGGUAAUGGCCUACCAAGGCGUCGACGGGUAGCCGGCCUGAGAGGGUGUACGGCCACAUUGGGACUGAGAUGCGGGCCAGACUGCUACGGGAGGCAGCAGGGGGGAAUAUUGCACAAUGGGCGCAAGCCUGAUGCAGCGAGGCCGCGUGGGGGAUGACGGCCUUCGGGUUGUAAACUCCUUUCGCUAGGGACGAAGCGUUUUUGUGACGGUACCUGGAGAAGAAGCACCGGCUAACUACGUG
Molecule: ribosomal RNA, 468 nt
Filed under: uncultured bacterium
Lineage: Bacteria
Description: partial 16S ribosomal RNA
Rfam family: Bacterial small subunit ribosomal RNA
Source: RNAcentral